AGUGCGGCCAGGCGCUGCUCUCGGGACACAUCCCCGCGCAGGUCCAGGAGGGCAGAGACAUGAUCCUCGCUAUGGGGACCCCAAAGAGGCCUGCCACCUCGAGGCCGAGCAGCAUGGGGUCACGGAGGUUCAGUAGAUCCCGCAGAGAGAGGAGCACCGGUGCGCACUGAACACUCUCCUCCAGGCCCUGAGCACCCCAGAGUAGGUCUCGAGCCCGCCCUCGACUCCCACCCAACCACUGAGACUCCCGCCCAUCUGCUCGCCUAAGGAGCUCUCACCAAACCAAGGAAAAGCUCCCGAAGCUGGGCCGCAUCGUUCUGCAGGCGCUGCGCUGCCUGGAUCCUCUCGUCGGCUCCUCGGCACACUAGGCGGCCCUGCAUCAACGCACGUAGGUACUGCAGUACCACCGUGCGCUCCGCCUCAGCCAGGAGAAGCUGCAGAGAACGCAAUGAGUCCAAGACGCCUUUCCUAUGGGCGCUUCCCUGCUUCCCAGCCUCUCCCUUAAGCGCACCUGGACUGCAGGAUUCCGCACUCGCCUGAAAUCCUGGCAGAAGCGCACCGUCCGCUCGCAUAUAUCGUCCAGCAGCUCUGGGCUCGACAGCCACCGGCGCGAGGGCAGAGCUUCGAACAGGGGCUGGGGGGUGGGGUUGGGCAGAGACGGGGCUGGAGGAACGUUCAGACCUAGCAUUUCCCCAGCAGAGACCCAUACAUAUAUAUGCUGUAUCUCCUCCUCCCACCCCCAUCCCCACCUGAAGACUUACCUGGAGCUCCGCCAGCAGCGCCUCCAACACCAGGCGGCAGAUCCUCCUCUGCAACUCGUCCAGCCCUGCCUCCACCAGAGCCAAGUCUCCUGAACCCGCCCCGUCGGGCUGCAGGACGGACAAGGAGGAGCUGGACCGACCAAAAGUUAUGGCUUCAGGACCAAGGCCAAGGCCCUCACGGCCCUCUGUUGUCUAGCCACGCUGACGCCACCUACUGGCGUAAGUUUGUGGAGGGAGGGGGCACUACCAAAGAUCUGGGCCUUGGAUUGAAGCUGGGAGUGAUAGGCUCCGACAGCUAGAAGAAACCCAGCCAGAACUGCCUCUAAUUUGCAGUGUAACUUUGCGCAAAUCGUGUCUUUUGGUUUCUGUUUGGGUAAGGGAAGCCUUAGGAGUGAAUAAAAAAUCAUCAUUAA
Molecule: long non-coding RNA, 1174 nt
Organism: Panthera uncia (snow leopard)
Lineage: Eukaryota; Metazoa; Chordata; Mammalia; Carnivora; Felidae
Exons: 2
Source: RefSeq, a predicted model, not a curated record